GAUCCUGGGCUCAGGACGAACGCUGGCGGCGUGCUUAACACAUGCAAGUCGAACGAGAAUCUGUGGAACGAGGAUUCGUCCAAGUGAAGCAGAGGACAGUGGCGGACGGGUGAGUAACGCGUGAGGAACCUGCCUUUCAGAGGGGGACAACAGUUGGAAACGACUGCUAAUACCGCAUAACACAUGGGUGUCGCAUGGCACUGAUGUCAAAGAUUUAUCGCUGAAAGAUGG
Molecule: ribosomal RNA, 231 nt
Filed under: uncultured bacterium
Lineage: Bacteria
Description: partial 16S ribosomal RNA
Rfam family: Bacterial small subunit ribosomal RNA
Source: RNAcentral